CGACUAGUUUUAAAAGUAUAAGCAGGCUCUGGUUUUUUAAUUACCAUGGUUCUACUCAGCGUGAUAAUUAUCUAUCGUUGAGGACACUUUUAUUAGUGGCCAUGGUCCCAAGAGUUGCUCUCUAAUCUCUGUGAUCAGUUGCAAAACUGAUUUCAUUCAUAUCUGACCUCGAAUCAGGUGGGACUACCCGCUGAACUUAA
This 200-nucleotide unclassified non-coding RNA is filed under the name soil metagenome. RNAcentral's name for it is "partial contains internal transcribed spacer 2 and large subunit ribosomal RNA". The record is from RNAcentral.